AUUGAACGCUGGCGGCAGGCUUAACACAUGCAAGUCGAGCGGGGGAAGGUAGCUUGCUACCGGACCUAGCGGCGGACGGGUGAGUAAUGCUUAGGAAUCUGCCUAUUAGUGGGGGACAACAUCUCGAAAGGGAUGCUAAUACCGCAUACGUCCUACGGGAGAAAGCAAGGGAUCUUCGGACCUUGCGCUAAUAGAUGAGCCUAAGUCGGAUUAGCUAGUUGGUGGGGUAAAGGCCUACCAAGGCGACGAUCUGUAGCGGGUCUGAGAGGAUGAUCCGCCACACUGGGACUGAGACACGGCCCAGACUCCUACGGGAGGCAGCAGUGGGGAAUAUUGGACAAUGGGGGGAACCCUGAUCCAGCCAUGCCGCGUGUGUGAGGAAGGCCUUAUGGUUGUAAAGCACUUUAAGCGAGGAGGAGGCUACUCUAGUUAAUACCUAGGGAUAGUGGACGUUACUCGCAGAAUAAGCACCGGCUAACUCUGUGCCAGCAGCCGCAGUAA
Molecule: ribosomal RNA, 501 nt
Filed under: uncultured bacterium
Lineage: Bacteria
Description: partial 16S ribosomal RNA
Rfam family: Bacterial small subunit ribosomal RNA
Source: RNAcentral